CAUACAGAGUAUUCCCCAGAGGAACUUGUGUCUACCUCUCCUUCACUGCCGCAUGCCUGCCCAGGGUUCUCCAAUACAGUGAGUAACCCUCGAUUGCCCAUAACCGUGACCUCACAAUUGCAAUACCCUGUAGGUCUGGCGUGUUGCAUUGAUCCCCGAAAAAACCUUGUUCUAUCAGGAC
Bufo bufo (common toad) is the source of this 181-nucleotide long non-coding RNA. RefSeq lists it as uncharacterized. Lineage: Eukaryota; Metazoa; Chordata; Amphibia; Anura; Bufonidae. The transcript has 3 exons. The record is from RefSeq and is a predicted model, not a curated record.